RNAcentral lists this ribosomal RNA (484 nucleotides) under uncultured bacterium. RNAcentral describes it as "partial 16S ribosomal RNA". It matches the Rfam family "Bacterial small subunit ribosomal RNA", at positions 30 to 507 of the family's 1533-position model. The record is from RNAcentral.
AUUGAACGCUGGCGGCAUGCCUUACACAUGCAAGUCGAACGGCAGCACGGGAGCAAUCCUGGUGGCGAGUGGCGAACGGGUGAGUAAUACAUCGGAACGUGCCCAAUCGUGGGGGAUAACGCAGCGAAAGCUGUGCUAAUACCGCAUACGAUCUACGGAUGAAAGCAGGGGACCGCAAGGCCUUGCGCGAAUGGAGCGGCCGAUGGCAGAUUAGGUAGUUGGUGGGGUAAAGGCUAACCAAGCCAACGAUCUGUAGCUGGUCUGAGAGGACGACCAGCCACACUGGGACUGAGACACGGCCAAGACUCCUACGGGAGGCAGCAGUGGGGAAUUUUGGACAAUGGGCGCAAGCCUGAUCCAGCCAUGCCGCGUGCAGGAUGAAGGCCUUCGGGUUGUAAGCUGCUUUUGUACGGAACGAAACGGCCUUUUCUAAUAAAGAGGGCUAAUGACGGUACCGUAAGAAUAAGCACCGGCUAACUACGUG